UACGAAGGGGGCUAGCGUUGUUCGGAUUUACUGGGCGUAAAGGGCGCGUAGGCGGAUUUUUAAGUCGGGGGUGAAAUCCCGGAGCUCAACUCCGGAACUGCCUUCGAUACUGAAAGUCUGGAGCACGGUAGAGGUGAGUGGAAUGCCGGGUGUAGAGGUGAAAUGCGUAGAUAUUCGGAGGAACACCAGUGGCGAAGGCGGCUCACUGGACCGUUGCUGACGCUGAGGCGCGAAAGCGUGGGGAGAAAACAGG
This 253-nucleotide ribosomal RNA is filed under the name uncultured bacterium. RNAcentral's name for it is "partial 16S ribosomal RNA". It matches the Rfam family "Bacterial small subunit ribosomal RNA", at positions 524 to 776 of the family's 1533-position model. The record is from RNAcentral.